RNAcentral lists this ribosomal RNA (843 nucleotides) under Hepialus xiaojinensis. Its description in RNAcentral is "partial large subunit ribosomal RNA". The record is from RNAcentral. Lineage: Eukaryota; Metazoa; Arthropoda; Insecta; Lepidoptera; Hepialidae.
UAAUUUAGUUAAUGUGGUAAUAUUAUUAAAAAUAAUUAAUUAGAAAUGAAAUGUUAAACGUUUUUAAAUAUAUCUAGUUUUUUGAGAAAUAAAUUUAAUUUAAAUAAUUAUUAAUUAAAUUAUAAAUUAUUUUAUAAAUUAAAAUAUAUUAUAAAUAUUUUAAGGGAUAAGCUUUAAGAUAAAUUAUUAAAUAAAAUUUAUUAAAAAUAGAUUAAAUUUAAUAUAAUUAAUAUUAUUAAUUUUAUUUAAUUUGUUAAAAAUAAAUUUAAUUUAAAUAAUAUUUUAUAUUUAAAUAUUAAUUAAUUAUUAAAAUAUUUAUUUAAAUAAUAAAAAUAAAUUAAUAAUGAUAAAAUUAGUAUAAUUAUUGUAUUUUAUAGUUAAUAAAUAUUUUAAUAUUAAUUUAAGUAAUUCGGCAAAAUUAAAUAUUCACCUGUUUAUCAAAAACAUGUCCUUUUGAUAAAUAAUUUAAGGUCUAAUCUGCCCACUGAAUAUAUUUAAAGGGCCGCAGUAAUUUGACUGUGCAAAGGUAGCAUAAUAAAUAGUCUUUUAAUUGAAGACUGGAAUGAAUGAUUGAAUGAAAUAUUAACUGUCUCAAAUUAAUAUUUUAAAAUUUAAUUUUUUAGUUAAAAAGCUAAAAUAAUUUUAAAAGACGAGAAGACCCUAUAGAGUUUUAUAUUUUAUUUUUAUUAAAUUAUUUAUAAAAUUUAUUUAUUUAAUUAAAUAUAUUUAUUUUAUUGGGGUGAUAAAAAAAUUAAAUAAACUUUUUAUAUAAUAUACAUUAAUAUAUGAUUAAAUGAUCCAAUUAUAUUGAAUAAAAGAAUAAAUUACCUUAGGGAUAACAGC